This is a non-coding RNA of Schistosoma curassoni, 41 nucleotides long. The record is from Rfam. NCBI's taxonomy places the organism in Eukaryota, Metazoa, Platyhelminthes, Trematoda, Strigeidida, Schistosomatidae.
AUCUAACGAGUCUCAAGUAGGACGAAACGCGCGUCCUGGAU